AUUCGCGGGAGAGACUUUUAUAGCGCCGAAGGAGCAACCGCCCUCGGAAACUCUCAGGCAAAAGGACCGCAA
This 72-nucleotide non-coding RNA is filed under the name marine eukaryotic metagenome. RNAcentral's name for it is "Glycine riboswitch". It matches the Rfam family "Glycine riboswitch aptamer", at positions 10 to 85 of the family's 94-position model. From Rfam's summary of the family: This family represents the bacterial glycine riboswitch. Glycine riboswitches usually consist of two metabolite-binding aptamers domains with similar structures in tandem. The record is from RNAcentral.